UUGUUUGAACUGACGCUUUUCCGUAAGAUUUAGUUCCUAGUAUAGUAGCUCUCUUAUUAUCUUGUAAUGCACCGGCGACAAUCUCAGAUGCAGAAGCUGAUCCUUCAUUUAUAAGUACAACAAGUGACAUUCCAUUUGAUAUAUCUCUAGCUGUUGCUUCAUAUUUCAAUUCAGAGUUCGAUGAUCUCCCUUUAGUUUCUACGAUUUUACCAUUUUGCAAAAAUAAAUCGCUUAUUCCUACUGCUGCCCCAAGAACACCACCUGGAUUAUUUCUUA
Molecule: non-coding RNA, 276 nt
Filed under: marine eukaryotic metagenome
Source: RNAcentral